RNAcentral lists this ribosomal RNA (254 nucleotides) under uncultured bacterium. Its description in RNAcentral is "partial 16S ribosomal RNA". It matches the Rfam family "Bacterial small subunit ribosomal RNA", at positions 524 to 776 of the family's 1533-position model. The record is from RNAcentral.
UACAGAGGGGGCAAGCGUUGUUCGGAAUUACUGGGCGUAAAGGGCGCGUAGGUGGCCUUCUAAGUCGAACGUGAAAUCCCUGGGCUCAACCCAGGAACUGCGUCCGAGACUGGGAGGCUUGAAUCCGGGAGAGGGAUGCGGAAUUCCAGGUGUAGCGGUGAAAUGCGUAGAUAUCUGGAGGAACACCGGUGGCGAAGGCGGCAUCCUGGACCAACACUGACGCUGAGUGAGCGAAAGCCAGGGGAGCAAACGGG